UACGUAGGUGGCAAGCGUUGUCCGGAUUUAUUGGGUUUAAAGGGUGCGUAGGCGGUCCUAUAAGUCAGUGCUGAAAUAUCCCGGCUUAACCGGGAGGGUGGCAUUGAUACUGCAGGACUUGAGUAAAGUUGAGGUUGGCAGAAUUGACGGUGUAGCGGUGAAAUGCUUAGAUAUCGUCAAGAACACCUAUUGCGAAGGCAGCUAACUAAGCUUUAACUGACGCUGAGGCACGAAAGUGUGGGGAUCAAACAGG
Molecule: ribosomal RNA, 253 nt
Filed under: uncultured bacterium
Lineage: Bacteria
Description: partial 16S ribosomal RNA
Rfam family: Bacterial small subunit ribosomal RNA
Source: RNAcentral